GUUUCACCUUAUCUGCAGUUUGGCUUACCCACCAUCCAAAAAAAUUAAAUGGAAAAUUCUAGAAAUAAACAAUUCAUAAGUUUUUAGUCAUGCACCGUUCUGAGUGGCCUGGGGAAAUCUCCUGCGCUCCUGCUCCACCUCGCCUUGGAUACAAAUCCUUCUUUUGUCCAGCAUAUCCACACUUUCUACCCACCCAUCUGUUAGUAACUUCAUAGCCGGCUCAAUUACCAGGUGGACUGCUGUGGUAUUGCAGUGCUUAUGUUCAAGUAACCCUUCUUUUACUUCAUCAUGGCCUCAAAGCACGAGAGUAGUGAUGCUGACAAUUUGGAUAUACCAAAGAGAAGCUGUAAAAUGCUUCCUUUCAGUGAAAAAGUGAAAGUUCUACAUUUAAUAAGAUGUCUUCUACGAACAUUUGUUUCCCAAACCAGAGAAACCCUUAUUCACUCAUUAACCAUUGGGAUUUUUGUUCAAAGGCCCAUGAAUUAUUGCUACUUUAAAUUUGCAAGCAAAUUUAUAAUUGGAUCCUGAUGUCCCAGCACCCAUAAAUAUUUUAUAAUAAUUGUACAAACAACACUUACAUUAAGGACAUGAACGAUUAAAAUAGGGAGACCCCCAUCUCUACCAAAAAAUAGGAAGAAGAAGAAGAAGAAGAAGAAGAAGAAGAAGAAGAAGAAG
RNAcentral lists this long non-coding RNA (675 nucleotides) under Homo sapiens (human). RNAcentral describes it as "HSALNT0309951". The record is from RNAcentral. Lineage: Eukaryota; Metazoa; Chordata; Mammalia; Primates; Hominidae.